Molecule: unclassified non-coding RNA, 280 nt
Filed under: Hevea brasiliensis (rubber tree)
Lineage: Eukaryota; Viridiplantae; Streptophyta; Magnoliopsida; Malpighiales; Euphorbiaceae
Source: RNAcentral
GGGCAGGCUUCCUUCAGAGCCGCAACACCUUCAUCAUCUAAGAGGAAAAAUGUAAAGGACUCCAAUAGCGAGUGCCUGGUCACACCAAAAGUGGCAGCAAAAUCAUCGAUGAUGUGUCUCCACUCAUCAUCAGGUACUGUCCAUUGCCGGUCAAACAUAAAAUACAAGAAAAUUGCUUGUUUUGCAACUACCAAGUCUGAACUUCCACGUAAAAAGAGAAUGUCAGCAGCAGCCCGCAAACUUUCAAAUGGAUAGCAUCCAGCCAUUCCCUCUAUUUUUG